UACACUAGAUUUAUAUUCAUUAAAUAAAAGUUAAAAAAAAGAAAAAACAAACAAAGACACAAGAUAUUAAUAUAUAGGACAGAGAUAUUGUAACCCAAAUAGCGUGGUACUCUCAUAAAACCAGACAAAGGACUAAUAGAAUAGAGAUCUCAGAAAUUAAUCUGCCCAUCGCAGCCAACUGAUCUUUGACAAGGUUAGCACAAACAUACACUGAAGAAAGUACAGCCUCCUCAGUAAGUGGAGCCAGGGAAGCUGGACAUCCAUGUGCACAAGACCGAAUCUUGUCCCAGGUCUCACACUGUACAAAAAUCAACUCCAAAUGGGUCGCCAGUCUGAAUGCUCAACCUGAACCUAUGGAACUGCUAGAAGGAAACACAGGGGAAACAUUUCGAGGUACUUGGAUAGGCAAAGAUUCAUGGACAAUUAUUCAGCCAUAAACAAGAACAAAAUCAUUAUAUUUACAGCAAAAAUGUAUUGAACUAGAGAUCGUUAUGUUUUGUAAAGUAAUUCAGACAUAAAAAGACAAACACCAUAUGUUCUCUGUCAUAUGUGGAAGUUUAGAAGGUAGCCAAUUUGAAAAAAUAAAUAAAUGUUGUAGCAUAUAUAUAUAUAUAUCAAUAAACUACUGCAACAUGGAAACAUAUUGUGAUAUCCCUAUAUCCAAAGAUGGAAUGGAAAAUGGUUAUGAUGUCAAAACUCUGCAUGUAUUUCAAAUUUUUUGUGGCAAAGUAUAUUUAUCUUUCGAUUUCAUUUGCCAUGAACCAUUGUAAGUGCCCUCACAUAUGUUGUUAUAUAAUAUACAUAGAUAUGUUAUAAAUAUAUAUAAUACAAUGUAUAUAACUUAAUACAUAUGGCAGUUUCCUUCCCCUGUUAAAUUUUUUAUGUCUAUUUUUGUGCUUUUAUAGUUUUGGAGUGAACUCUAGUAACAGUGGUCUGUCAAAAUCCUUCGGCAUUUUUAUUGCAACUACAUGAACUUACAGGACAGUUUGGGAAUCAGCAGUCAGUAUUACAAUCAAGCACACAGCAUGUCUCUCCAUUUGACAUCAACCAGACCCCAGAGCCACUCAUCAAAUCUCCAAGCUGGGAGAGAUCUGAGAGAGAGGCAUUUUGCAGGACUCAGCAAUGAGACACAGACCGGUGUUGGAAGAAAGAAGCAUUUCCCAGUUGCACCUCAAGAAGUCUUCAUUGUCAAGAGUGAACAUUCGCUGGAGUUGAUUACAGAAUCCUUGGACUCCACACUCUCUGGCGAUAAAAACACCCCUGCUGUAGUUGGAUGGCUCUCCACCCGCCGCCUCACCUCUGCUUUGCUUGGUCUCCUUGUACUCUGUGAUUUCGUAUUUCUUUUGAUUUCUUGAUUCAGCCUGGCCAUAUGUCCAGAGUGACUUUGUAAACCCAGUCUGGGCUGAACCCCAGGCUGCAAGUUGGAAUCCCUCUGGGCCUGUGAAGCUUACUGAUCUCAGGAGAGAGAACAUUUUCUUGCCAAAUCACUGCUCUCAAAACAAACUCUGGGAUGGCAGCCUCAUUACCUUGUGCCUGCCAGUGCACCCCCAGCUGUGAUGCUCUGACUCUGAACUUCUCCUCCUCCUCCCCUGUUGAGUUUAUGUGUGUUUUAGUUCCCUCCCAAGAGGGGCUAUACUUCACUGGUAUUAAAGUGAUCAGCUCUGGAGAGUUUACAGAGUCUUCCAUUUCCCCAAAAUCAAUCUUGGAUUCCUAAACGCCCACAUGUUUAGCACUUAGGAGCUGGAAGUGGCUGCGCUGGAGGUGUUCGCCAGACCCUCUUGAAAGAGUGGCUGGGAAGGUUGAGGGACGCUUAGGGGCUCACCCAAGGCCAAGGGGCUCUUCCAUGCUAUGAGGAGUGCCCCCCUUCCAGGGCUCUCCUGCUGCUGCUGCGACUCUUCAUUGUAUUAUUUUAUCUUAUCUAAACAUUGAAAAACUUUCCCAUCGAUUUUAAACACAUGAAAGUACAUAGCAUAGUAUGCAACCUCCCCCACCAUACUCAAAUUCAACAAAUAGCAGUGACCCUCCGUUGAUCUUUUCUGUGAAUCCAUCUUUGUCAGUCUUGAUGUGGUUGAUCUUGUUUCCACUGUAGUUCAGGACCUGUCACCCCAAAACACGGCAGCUUGGCACAAUUUGGGAAAACAGCAGAAACAGGAAAGUCUCUGUGGCCUUCUCCCUUGAGGUAAGUAAUAAAACCUUGGAAGAAACUUCUGACCUUAAGCCU
This 2221-nucleotide long non-coding RNA is filed under the name Oryctolagus cuniculus (rabbit). RNAcentral's name for it is "lncRNA (ENSOCUG00000036003.1)". Lineage: Eukaryota; Metazoa; Chordata; Mammalia; Lagomorpha; Leporidae. The record is from RNAcentral.